This 253-nucleotide ribosomal RNA is filed under the name uncultured bacterium. RNAcentral describes it as "partial 16S ribosomal RNA". It matches the Rfam family "Bacterial small subunit ribosomal RNA", at positions 524 to 776 of the family's 1533-position model. The record is from RNAcentral.
UACGUAGGGUGCAAGCGUUGUCCGGAAUUAUUGGGCGUAAAGAGCUCGUAGGCGGUUCGUCGCGUCGGCUGUGGAAAACCUGAGGCUCAACCUCAGGCCUGCAGUCGAUACGGGCGGACUUGAGUACUGCAGGGGAGACUGGAAUUCCUGGUGUAGCGGUGAAAUGCGCAGAUAUCAGGAGGAACACCGGUGGCGAAGGCGGGUCUCUGGGCAGUAACUGACGCUGAGCACGAAGGCCAGGGGAGCAAACGGG